GUCGAGCGGAGAUGAGGUGCUUGCACCUUAUCUUAGCGGCGGACGGGUGAGUAAUGCUUAGGAAUCUGCCAUUUAGUGGGGGACAACAUUCCGAAAGGAAUGCUAAUACCGCAUACGUCCUACGGGAGAAAGCAGGGGAUCUUCGGACCUUGCGCUAAAUGAUGAGCCUAAGUCGGAUUAGCUAGUUGGUGGGGUAAAGGCCUACCAAGGCGACGAUCUGUAGCGGGUCUGAGAGGAUGAUCCGCCACACUGGGACUGAGACACGGCCCCAGCCUCCUACGGGAGGCAGCAGUGGGGGAAUAUUUGGACAAUGGGCGGAAGCCUUGAUCCAGCCAUGCCGCGUGUGUGAAGAAGGCCUUUUGGUUGUAAAGCACUUUAAGCGAGGAGGAGGCUACCUAGAUUAAUACUCUGGGAUAGUGGACGUUACUCGCAGAAUAAGCACCGGCUAACUCUGUGCCAGCAGCCGCGGUAAUACAGAGGGUGCGAGCGUUAAUCGGAUUUACUGGGCGUAAAGCGUGCGUAGGCGGCUGAUUAAGUCGGAUGUGAAAUCCCUGAGCUUAACUUAGGAAUUGCAUUCGAUACUGGUCAGCUAGAGUAUGGGAGAGGAUGGUAGAAUUCCAGGUGUAGCGGUGAAAUGCGUAGAGAUCUGGAGGAAUACCGAUGGCGAAGGCAGCCAUCUGGCCUAAUACUGACGCUGAGGUACGAAAGCAUGGGGAGCAAACAGGAUUAGAUACCCUGGUAGUCCAUGCCGUAAACGAUGUCUACUAGCCGUUGGGGCCUUUGAGGCUUUAGUGGCGCAGCUAACGCGAUAAGUAGACCGCCUGGGGAGUACGGUCGCAAGACUAAAACUCAAAUGAAUUGACGGGGGCCCGCACAAGCGGUGGAGCAUGUGGUUUAAUUCGAUGCAACGCGAAGAACCUUACCUGGCCUUGACAUACUAGAAACUUUCCAGAGAUGGAUUGGUGCCUUCGGGAAUCUAGAUACAGGUGCUGCAUGGCUGUCGUCAGCUCGUGUCGUGAGAUGUUGGGUUAAGUCCCGCAACGAGCGCAACCCUUUUCCUUACUUGCCAGCAUUUCGGAUGGGAACUUUAAGGAUACUGCCAGUGACAAACUGGAGGAAGGCGGGGACGACGUCAAGUCAUCAUGGCCCUUACGGCCAGGGCUACACACGUGCUACAAUGGUCGGUACAAAGGGUUGCUACCUAGCGAUAGGAUGCUAAUCUCAAAAAGCCGAUCGUAGUCCGGAUUGGAGUCUGCAACUCGACUCCAUGAAGUCGGAAUCGCUAGUAAUCGCGGAUCAGAAUGCCGCGGUGAAUACGUUCCCGGGCCUUGUACACACCGCCCGUCACACCAUGGGAGUUUGUUGCACCAGAAGUAGGUAGUCUAACCUUAGGGGGG
RNAcentral lists this ribosomal RNA (1397 nucleotides) under Acinetobacter sp. LR30. RNAcentral's name for it is "16S ribosomal RNA". It matches the Rfam family "Bacterial small subunit ribosomal RNA". The record is from RNAcentral. Lineage: Bacteria; Pseudomonadati; Pseudomonadota; Gammaproteobacteria; Moraxellales; Moraxellaceae.